ACAAGACUGCAACAUCCCCUCACGCCUAGUCUGUAAAGAACUUUGUUUAACCCGGAGGCGGGGCCAGCCAGCUCCGCCCCUCCAGCUGGACGCGGGAGCGAGGUUGAGGUUCAUACCCCUGGGUUCUCUCCAGGCCUGAGGCGGAGAGCCAGCCGCCUGCCUACCUCUGGGCUUUGAACCCCGGGUCUGGUGACUUCGCUUAAAGACCUCGGGCCGAAGGCCCGCCAGGCUCAACCUCGGUUCACAGGACCCCCGACUUGUGUGAGUCGUACACCGCUCUUUACCGUCUCUGGACCUAGGUCAUCUCGGCAGUAAAAUGGGGUGAAAUGACCCGACCUCCCCGGAGGAUGCCGCGCACGAUGUGUGCCUCAAGUUGGCUUCCACUGACCUGAACUGUUAAGAAAGCCCUCCUCAGUGACGCCUUCCCUGAAUCCACAGUGGAGAUUGCCGUUUUCCUGGAACUAAUUCACCCACACUUACCCAUUUCAUCCCUUUCCACCUUUUAUUUCUACCUUUCUGCCCCACUGAUCUCUAGAAUAGGUGCUGGGAGACGUUAGAGUAUUUGAUCUCCCACUCCCCAGUCAUCCCACUUACCGAGCAGUAAUUCUCUGCCUGGCUGCACAUUGCAAUCACUUGGGAAGCCUCUAAAAAUACUGAUGCCAGGGCUCUACCCCAAGCCAGUUAAAAUCUCCAGCGCUGGACCUGGGCAUUGGUACUUUUUGUAAAGCUUUCAGGUGA
Molecule: long non-coding RNA, 738 nt
Filed under: Homo sapiens (human)
Lineage: Eukaryota; Metazoa; Chordata; Mammalia; Primates; Hominidae
Description: non-protein coding lnc-CPT2-3:3
Source: RNAcentral